Molecule: ribosomal RNA, 459 nt
Filed under: uncultured bacterium
Lineage: Bacteria
Description: partial 16S ribosomal RNA
Rfam family: Bacterial small subunit ribosomal RNA
Source: RNAcentral
CUAGGGAGGCAGCAGUGAGGAAUAUUGGUCAAUGGGCGAGAGCCUGAACCAGCCAAGUCGCGUGAGGGAAGACGGUCCUAUGGAUUGUAAACCUCUUUUGUCGGGGAGCAAAAAGGCCUCGUGAGGCCACAAGUGAGAGUACCCGAAGAAAAAGCAUCGGCUAACUCCGUGCCAGCAGCCGCGGUAAUACGGAGGAUGCGAGCGUUAUCCGGAUUUAUUGGGUUUAAAGGGUGCGUAGGCGGCCUUUUAAGUCAGCGGUGAAAGUCUGUGGCUCAACCAUAGAAUUGCCGUUGAAACUGGGAGGCUUGAGUAUGUUUGAGGCAGGCGGAAUGCGGGGUGUAGCGGUGAAAUGCUUAGAUAUCACGCAGAACCCCGAUUGCGAAGGCAGCCUGCCAAGCCAUGACUGACGCUGAUGCACGAAAGCGUGGGGAUCAAACAGGAUUAGAUACCCCAGUAGUC